AUUACUUUGGCAGAUUAGUGUGUUUGAUUUAGAAUCAAUUUAUGUUUUAUAAACAGGUAAUA
RNAcentral lists this transfer RNA (62 nucleotides) under Rhagophthalmus giganteus. RNAcentral's name for it is "tRNA-Leu". The record is from RNAcentral. Lineage: Eukaryota; Metazoa; Arthropoda; Insecta; Coleoptera; Rhagophthalmidae. RNAcentral also lists the same sequence under 1 other name.